This is a non-coding RNA of Meleagris gallopavo (turkey), 2202 nucleotides long. The record is from RefSeq and is a predicted model, not a curated record. NCBI's taxonomy places the organism in Eukaryota, Metazoa, Chordata, Aves, Galliformes, Phasianidae.
GAAAGGAUGUCUUCUGGAGAUCCCUCUGCUGGAGUUUUGUAUUAAGCCUACAAUGUGGCUCUGCAGAAGCGUGACUCUGGAUGGCAACAGGGAUUAUCUAGUGAUUAUUGCAUAAAGAAUAUAAAGCAGCAAAGGAUCUUGCACCCCAACACCAACCUGACUGCCACAGACUUGCAGCAUAGUACAGAAACCGUUCCUUUUUUGUUGACUGCUCCAGUCAAGCAAGAGAUAAGACUGCAAACAGCAAAUUGCCUCAAGUUUAUGGAGACUUAGUAAGCAAGAGUCUGAAGCAAAAAGCAGCCUACUGUUAAUUUCCCAUAGGGAGGACCUGACAGCUGUCAUCUUCUUUUCCUUGGAUGUGCGAACCUUGCCAAACACAUAGAUGCAUUUCCUGGUGGCUUUUUCUGUUCAGAAGCAUCAUGACUAGAAGACUUAAAAUAUUUUUAAUUAUUUAUUUAUUCUUCUUAUAUAUAAAACAACCCAUAACUUUGGAAUCCUUGAUUGUCCAUAAAGACAAAUUUACUGACUGACUUUAAUGUAAUUUCUAGAUUUCAGGAAUUCUAAGACAUAAGACAUUUUGUUUUUACCUGCUUGAAAUUUUCUGGCCUGGCUCUUGUUAGACCACAGCAAGGCAAAUGUAUUUUCAGCCGAUAGGACUCUGCACUGGUAAAUUACAGUAGAGCUAGAGUUCUGAAUGUACAUUUCAUGAAUGAUGGAAGGAAUGCCUUCUAAAAUUAUUCUUAGGGUAAGAAACAGUAUCAAUUCAAUCUACUUCAACUGAGUCUAGACAAUUUGGUUUGUAUUGAAUACUUGCAACAUUGAACUAUAUAGUGCUGGUAAAAUAAAAUUUCUUUUGUUUUCUGCCUUAAAUGUUAAAAAAUAAAUAAUAUUAAUAAAAAAAUUAGGCUGGUCUCUAAAGGUACAUUCACUUCCUAAAAACAAGGUGCAAUUUAUUACUUGUCUGGUUUCAGAGUCUUUAGAAUAUACUUGGAUCAUGAUUUUUGCUAUACCUUGUUUGCUAGACUCCUCGUUAUCAGAGUGCAGUGUUCAUUUUUAAUCUGAAAUGCAAGCCUUUAAGGGAAAUACCAAAUUCUGAAAGAUAAAUUGAGCUUUCAAGAAUGUAAAGCAUAAAUGCUUCUGUAUGCUACAGGAGAGUCCCUUUGGGUUUCUUAUUGCUUUACUGGGACUUGCGACUUAGUGCAUGAACUGAAGCUGAACACAAUCAUCACUCGCUAUUUAAAUUUUUAAAAAAUACAUUUAAGUUUUGGCUCCUGCUAUAUAUUUUGGAAUAACAUCCCUGAAGUUACAGCAGUUCUUCUGUUGUUUCCCACUGUGCUCCUGCAGUUCUGUUGAGUGGUGAAUAUCCAAGACUUAAUCUGAUUGAUAGGAAGGGACCUGAACACACAGUCCUCUCACAUGUUAGACAUAUCCACAAGAAGUGCUCAUCAUGUCAUUAUAGUCAAUCAUAAAAGCUACAUUCAUGUGUCAUUUUUCACUCUACUCAAAUCAGAUAUGCAAUGACCAAGAUACUCUUAAAGAUUUACGUAAGUGUUGUGAGAAAUAUACAUAGUCUAACCAAUGUAUUUUCAUAUCAGAGUCUCCUCUUUACACAUAUGCUAUUUCUCCACUGAAGAUACAUGCAUAAUUUAGGACUAAACAUAUCAAGUUGGAUGCUGCAUCUCUUCUUUAGCCUGUUCUUCAUACUCCUUGUGCAACUGUAACUGUCUAUCUUCCAGAAGCUGUUUUUUCAGCAGAAGAAGGGAAGGCUCUCAUUACAGUCAGCAUUGCUUUAGCUGUUUGAGGAUGGGAAUAGAAAGAUUUUUAUAUCUUUAUUUAGGAGUUAAAUCUUCUUUUCUUGGCUACAUGUAGCCAUAAGGAAUACAACCUUCCCUGCCUGCGAUAAGACUGCUUACUCUUCUUAAAACUGUCUUUGUCUUCCACCAUCAAUACCACAAAGCAAAAGAGAGAUAAAAUAAAAAAAAUAUUUUCUGAAAAUAUAUGGGAGCUUAGUGAGAAGCUCUAGAUAGUGGGGGGAGGAGGGAGGGUGGAAAAGAGAGGGAAAUUAGAGAGUUUAUGAAGUUUAUGAAUUCUAAGCUCCAUCCUAGCAUGUUAUUUGAUGUUCUCUAAUUCAUUUUCCAUGCAUGUAAUGUUCACUGUGUACCAUCAUCCUUCUUUAAAAUGAUAAUAAAUGUUGAAACACAA